UUUGUCGCAGAGUUAACAAAAAUAUGACAUUAUGAGCCCUUUAAUUUUUGUAAUAUUCUCAACAGUACUUCUUCGUAUUAUUUUGAAUUCGAUGCAAAAUAUCUUCACAAGACAAUAGGAAACAGUAUUUUCACAGAACGACCUGUACCUUUUUGUAUGCAAAAAUUAGAAUAAGCACCAAUUUCUUUAAUAUCUUAAAAAUUCUUGCGACCACAAAUUAUUGGCAAAAGCUUGUUUGUACUCUAUUUUUAUAUUUGGAGCGUUUAUAAAUCUUUUACAUGCGAAUCUAACAAAAACUUUGUUUGCAAAAAUAUUUGCUUGCCAAUGUUUAUCUUUCUUCAGUUUUUUUUUUAGUUUUUUUCUUGCGACUCCUUGUGACAUUUCUAUUAGCAUAUUCAAGUGUUGCUAUGAAAAACACUUUAAAAUGUUGGUUAAGGUUUUGGUACAACAUAACGUCAAGUGGACGGAGUUGUAACUGCUUUUAGUAUUGAAAUUCAAUUUCCGGUUGAUCAAAUUUCCUUCGUAAUUUAAUUCUUCAUACUUUAAAUAUAUUCAUGUGUCAAACCAAACUUUUUAUAUGGAGGAAAGUGUUUUUUUUCGAAAGAAGAUGUGUGCACCAGUGAACUUUGCUCACUAGCACCUUGGUAAAAUGGAAUUAAUUAAAGUUAUUUUAUAUUCUAGCAUCAUCUCCGUCAAUAGGUCAGGAAGGCACUGCUUCAUCAAGGCAAAAUUCUGGCAUUAAGAGCUCAAAAAAGAAAAAACGAUCUGCACUAUUCGAUAGCCUGAGUGUCCACGAGAAUGUAGAAGGUAAACGGAAGCGAUGAUAUCAAAACUCUGGAUAUAUUCAGUAAUGUUAGUAAAUAUGAAAAAAAGAUUUGUACAUCAAUUUCUUAUUUUGCUUGAUUGUUAUAUUAAUAGCCUUUGGCUAUUCACAAUCUUCUUGCUUCAUGAAAUUUUUUGUUACAUUUAUUUAUUAUUUUAUUUUGUUUGUCGAAUUUCUGUUAUUUUUACUACUUGUAUAUAUAUGUACAAACGACAACAUUCAUUAAAAACGCAGAAAACAAAACGACUAUUGGUCGUGGUCAUGUGUGACCUUCUCCAUGGCCUACGUUCUGAUCUUGAAAACUAGUUAUGACACUUUUUUUCAGUUUUUUUAUGUUCUUGUGUGUAUAUUUAACGAGCCUUUAGGUUGCAAAAAUUUCUUAUGGCGUUGUUUAGCGAAUGAUCAGACAAUGAGAGUAAAAAUAUGAGCUUUUUGCACGCUUUAUAAGUAAGUAUUGCACAAGUUUCUUUAUAGAAAAACAAAACGUAGCAUAUUUCAUGUAGAAUAGCUAAUCAAGUUACUGAAAGUGAAGAUAAACGCGUGACAUAAAUGUGACCUUGUGUGAAGCAAAAAGAAGACAUUGCAUUAGGUUACGUCUGCAUUUUUUCAUAUCCAAGCAACAAAAGGAUUGACUUUUUAUCGAUUCAAUUUUCUACGAUGACGUUUUCAAAUAUUUUUUUAUCUUAUGUAAUUAAUGUAAUAAUUAUAUAUAGAACUUUGACCAAACAUGUCCGAAAUGGGAUGAUGUGGUAUGAAAGGAUUUUUGAUGUUAUUGAUGGUAGAGCAAAUUUUUAUUAGAAAGUAGAAAUAUUAUCACAAUGGGAAAUUUUGACCCACGAACAAUAGAAAAAUGCUGAUAAGUCCGCAUAAAUUUUUGACAGGAUAACCAUUUAUCAUACAUUUCUUAGAAUGUUGUUUGGAAUUCAUUUUCUUUUGCUUUUUUCUUUUUUCCUGUUUUUGCCUUCCGUCAACAAAGAGUGAAUGCACAUGCGCUUGUCUAGUACUUUUAAGCAUUAUUACACAUGGGACAUAAAACAUACAAUCCCUUUUGAAUUAAAUUUAAAUGAUUUAACACGAGUUGAUAAUAUAAAUUAAUUCCUUGAUACUAUAACAUUUGACCAUACGCAUGGAAAUGUGUGUUCAAACCGAUCUUUUGUUACUUUUAUUAAAGUGAUUGAGUCAGUACAUAUGGCAAUGUUUAUCCUCUGGUAAAAUUUAUGUUGGUUUAUCAGCACUUUCUCUACCACACUCGCUUGUGUAUGUAUGUUGGUUUAUUUUUGACAUUUAUAUUUAGAUCGUGUGAUCGUGAAAUUUGUUGUGCACUUCCUCAUAGUCAUUAGCGAAAUCUCUGUCGAGAACAUUAAUUACAAACCACAACAAAAUAACAUUUAAUGACAUUCAACAUUUUAACUAACGAGGUCCGGGAAAACAAAAAACUGACUACUACUGCGACUAAAUUCACGCCAACGAAUUAGCUAAAAUAACCUCCCGUAACCCUAACCAACCCUCGUUACAAAAGUGAGGUCUUGCUGUGGCUAUGACUAUCAUGUUUACAAUUGGGCUAUGACCCUCUUUUUUACCGUUGGUUGUUAACGCUUUUUUCUUGUUUUACCCCACAUGGGGCAGGUGUAAGCGCACUACAUUCCGACACUGUCGACUCUGUUCUUACUGUUGGUUUUAAAAUGCUCGUGGUUUUAUAAGAACGAAGAGAGUCCAAAAUGCGCAUGCGUUGUGUAUAAUACAACAUUACGUCAUGAUCGACACUCGACGUUUAAUUAAUUCUUCUGUUGAAAUUAUUUCGGAAAAAAAUUUAUCUGAGUGA
Molecule: long non-coding RNA, 2645 nt
Organism: Hydractinia symbiolongicarpus
Lineage: Eukaryota; Metazoa; Cnidaria; Hydrozoa; Anthoathecata; Hydractiniidae
Exons: 3
Source: RefSeq, a predicted model, not a curated record